RNAcentral lists this transfer RNA (64 nucleotides) under Staphylinidae sp. BMNH 1274207. RNAcentral describes it as "tRNA-Asp". Lineage: Eukaryota; Metazoa; Arthropoda; Insecta; Coleoptera; Staphylinidae. The record is from RNAcentral.
AAAAAUUUAGUUAAUAUAAUAACAUUAACUUGUCAAGUUAAAAUAACUUUUUAAGUAAUUUUUA